This 77-nucleotide transfer RNA is filed under the name Thermoplasmata archaeon. Its description in RNAcentral is "tRNA-Lys". It matches the Rfam family "tRNA". Rfam says of the family: Transfer RNA (tRNA) molecules are approximately 80 nucleotides in length. Their secondary structure includes four short double-helical elements and three loops (D, anti-codon, and T loops). Lineage: Archaea; Methanobacteriati; Thermoplasmatota; Thermoplasmata. RNAcentral also lists the same sequence under 2 other names. The record is from RNAcentral.
GGGCCGGUAGCUUAGCUAGGUAGAGCGUUCGGCUCUUAACCGAAUGGCCAGGGGUUCGAAUCCCUUCCGGCCCGCCA